Molecule: ribosomal RNA, 301 nt
Filed under: uncultured bacterium
Lineage: Bacteria
Description: partial 16S ribosomal RNA
Rfam family: Bacterial small subunit ribosomal RNA
Source: RNAcentral
CAGCCGCCGCGGGAAUACGUAGGGUGCGAGCGUUAAACGGAAUUACUGGGCGUAAAGCGUGCGCAGGCGGUUGUGUAAGACAGGUAUGAAAUCCCCGGGCUUAACCUGGGAACUGCGCUUGUGACUGCACAGCUAGAGUAUGGCAGAGGGGGGUGGAAUUCCACGUGUAGCAGUGAAAUGCGUAGAGAUGUGGAGGAACACCGAUGGCGAAGGCAGCCCCCUGGGCCAAUACUGACGCUCAUGCACGAAAGCGCGGGGAGCAAACAGGAUUAGAUACCCCUGUAGUCCCUGUCUCUUAUAC